CCUAGUACGGCGAGUGAAGAGGGAAGAGCCCAAGAUUGAAAGCUGGCGUCUUCGGCGUCCGCAUUGUAAUCUCAAGAAGUGUUUUCCGCUUCGGACCAUGCCUAAGUCCCUUGGAAAAGGGCAUCAUAGAGGGUGAUAAUCCCGUUCAUGGCAUGGAGCGCCCGAAGCUUUGUGAUACGCUUUCUAAGAGUCGAGUUGUUUGGGAAUGCAGCUCAAAAUGGGUGGUAAAUGCCAUCUAAGGCUAAAUAUUGGGGAGAGACCGAUAGCGAACAAGUACAGUGAUGGAAAGAUGAAAAGAACUUUGAAAAGAGAGUUAAACAGUACGUGAAAUUGCCAAAAGGGAAGGGUAGGAGGUCAGAGAUGCGUCUUGGAAUUCAGCCUUGCUUCUGCUUGGUGUUUUUUCCAAGUUGCAGGCCAACGUCGGUUUUGGGCACUGGAGAAGGGUGGAAGGAAUGUGGCACCUCUCGGGGUGUGUUAUAGCCUUCUACUGGAUACAGCGACCGAGACCGAGGACAGCAGCGUACUCGUAAGAGCGGGCCUUCGGGCACCUUUACGCUUAGGGCGUUGGCAUAAUGGCCCUCUACCACCCGUCU
This 593-nucleotide ribosomal RNA is filed under the name Sporisorium sp. RNAcentral's name for it is "eukaryotic LSU rRNA". It matches the Rfam family "Eukaryotic large subunit ribosomal RNA", at positions 79 to 654 of the family's 3401-position model. Lineage: Eukaryota; Fungi; Basidiomycota; Ustilaginomycetes; Ustilaginales; Ustilaginaceae. The record is from RNAcentral.